UGCUCGAGUGGCGAACGGGUGAGUAACACGUGGGUGAUCUGCCCUGCACUUCGGGAUAAGCUUGGGAAACUGGGUCUAAUACCGGAUAGGACCAUCGUUUAGUGUCGGUGGUGGAAAGUUUUUCGGUGUGGGAUGAGCUCGCGGCCUAUCAGCUUGUUGGUGGGGUAAUGGCCUACCAAGGCGUCGACGGGUAGCCGGCCUGAGAGGGUGUACGGCCACAUUGGGACUGAGAUACGGCCCAG
Molecule: ribosomal RNA, 242 nt
Filed under: uncultured Actinomycetales bacterium
Lineage: Bacteria; Bacillati; Actinomycetota; Actinomycetes; Actinomycetales
Description: partial 16S ribosomal RNA
Rfam family: Bacterial small subunit ribosomal RNA
Source: RNAcentral